RNAcentral lists this ribosomal RNA (251 nucleotides) under uncultured prokaryote. RNAcentral's name for it is "partial 16S rRNA". It matches the Rfam family "Bacterial small subunit ribosomal RNA", at positions 525 to 775 of the family's 1533-position model. The record is from RNAcentral.
ACGGAGGGGGCAAGCGUUAUUCGGAAUCACUGGGCGUAAAGCGCGCGUAGGCGGUUUGAUAAGUGUCAGGUGAAAUCCCACGGCUUAACCGUGGAACUGCCUUGAAAACUGUCAGUCUUGAGUCUGGGAGGGGAGGGUGGAAUUCCUGGUGUAGGGGUGAAAUGCGUAGAUAUCAGGAGGAAUACCGAUGGCGAAGGCGACUUUCUGGACCAGUACUGACGCUGAGGCGCGAAAGCGUGGGGAGCAAACAG